Molecule: transfer RNA, 77 nt
Filed under: Ixodes scapularis (black-legged tick)
Lineage: Eukaryota; Metazoa; Arthropoda; Arachnida; Ixodida; Ixodidae
Rfam family: tRNA
About the family: Transfer RNA (tRNA) molecules are approximately 80 nucleotides in length. Their secondary structure includes four short double-helical elements and three loops (D, anti-codon, and T loops).
Source: Rfam by way of RNAcentral
ACAGUCGUGGCCGAGUGGCCGAUGGACUAGAAAUCCAUUGGGGUCUCCCCACACAGGUUCGAAUCCUAUCGACUGCG